This 301-nucleotide ribosomal RNA is filed under the name uncultured bacterium. RNAcentral describes it as "partial 16S ribosomal RNA". It matches the Rfam family "Bacterial small subunit ribosomal RNA", at positions 509 to 808 of the family's 1533-position model. The record is from RNAcentral.
CAGCCGCCGCGGUAAUACGUAGGGUGCAAGCGUUAAUCGGAAUUACUGGGCGUAAAGCGUGCGCAGGCGGUUAUAUAAGACAGAUGUGAAAUCCCCGGGCUCAACCUGGGAACUGCAUUUGUGACUGUAUAGCUAGAGUACGGCAGAGGGGGAUGGAAUUCCGCGUGUAGCAGUGAAAUGCGUAGAUAUGCGGAGGAACACCGAUGCGAAGGCAAUCCCCUGGGCCUGUACUGACGCUCAUGCACGAAAGCGUGGGGAGCAAACAGGAUUAGAUACCCCCGUAGUCCCUGUCUCUUAUACA